RNAcentral lists this transfer RNA (93 nucleotides) under Enterobius vermicularis (human pinworm). It matches the Rfam family "tRNA". From Rfam's summary of the family: Transfer RNA (tRNA) molecules are approximately 80 nucleotides in length. Their secondary structure includes four short double-helical elements and three loops (D, anti-codon, and T loops). Lineage: Eukaryota; Metazoa; Nematoda; Chromadorea; Rhabditida; Oxyuridae. The record is from Rfam by way of RNAcentral.
CCAACCAUAGCUCAGUUAAUAGAGCGAAGGAUUAUAGAAGCAUAAUUGCGCACAGAGAUCCUUAGGUCGCUGGUUUGAAUCCGGCUGUUUGGA